CCUACGGGAGGCAGCAGUGGGGAAUAUUGGACAAUGGGGGCAACCCUGAUCCAGCCAUGCCGCGUGUGUGAAGAAGGCCCUCGGGUUGUAAAGCACUUUCAGUGAGGAAGAACGCCUGGUGGUUAAUACCCAUCAGGAAAGACAUCACUCACAGAAGAAGCACCGGCUACACUCCGUGCCAGCAGCCGCGGUAAUACGGAGGGUGCGAGCGUUAAUCGGAAUUACUGGGCGUAAAGCGCGCGUAGGUGGCUUGAUAAGCCGGUUGUGAAAGCCCCGGGCUCAACCUGGGAACGGCAUCCGGAACUGUCAAGCUAGAGUGCAGGAGAGGAAGGUAGAAUUCCCGGUGUAGCGGUGAAAUGCGUAGAGAUCGGGAGGAAUACCAGUGGCGAAGGCGGCCUUCUGGACUGACACUGACACUGAGGUGCGAAAGCGUGGGUAGCAAACAGGAUUAGAUACCCCUGUAGUC
This 466-nucleotide ribosomal RNA is filed under the name Vreelandella stevensii. RNAcentral's name for it is "partial 16S ribosomal RNA". It matches the Rfam family "Bacterial small subunit ribosomal RNA", at positions 338 to 795 of the family's 1533-position model. Lineage: Bacteria; Pseudomonadati; Pseudomonadota; Gammaproteobacteria; Oceanospirillales; Halomonadaceae. The record is from RNAcentral.